RNAcentral lists this ribosomal RNA (497 nucleotides) under uncultured bacterium. RNAcentral describes it as "partial 16S ribosomal RNA". It matches the Rfam family "Bacterial small subunit ribosomal RNA", at positions 28 to 507 of the family's 1533-position model. The record is from RNAcentral.
GAUGAACGCUGGCGGCGUGCCUAAUACAUGCAAGUCGAGCGAACAGACGAGGAGCUUGCUCCUCUGACGUUAGCGGCGGACGGGUGAGUAACACGUGGAUAACCUACCUAUAAGACUGGGAUAACUUCGGGAAACCGGAGCUAAUACCGGAUAAUAUAUUGAACCGCAUGGUUCAAUAGUGAAAGACGGUUUUGCUGUCACUUAUAGAUGGAUCCGCGCCGCAUUAGCUAGUUGGUAAGGUAACGGCUUACCAAGGCAACGAUGCGUAGCCGACCUGAGAGGGUGAUCGGCCACACUGGAACUGAGACACGGUCCAGACUCCUACGGGAGGCAGCAGUAGGGAAUCUUCCGCAAUGGGCGAAAGCCUGACGGAGCAACGCUGCGUGAGUGAUGAAGGUCUUCGGAUCGUAAAACUCUGUUAUUAGGGAAGAACAAAUGAGUAAGUAACUAUGCACGUCUUGACGGUACCUAAUCAGAAAGCCACGGCUAACUACGUG